AGCCUUUAGCCUAGAAUAUUAAAGGUACCGCCUGCCCAGUGACACCAUCACCGUUAAACGGCCGCGGUAUACUAACCGUGCAAAGGUAGCGUAAUCACUUGUCUCCUAAUUAGAGACUAGUAUGAACGGCUUAAUGAGGAUAUAACUGUCUCACAAGACCAAUCAGUGAAAUUGAUCUACCAGUACAAAAGCUGGUAUAUACCCAUAAGACGAGAAGACCCUGUGGAGCUUUAGAUAAGACGCCAACCCACAACCUGAUGGCAUCCUACCUUUAGUUGGGGCGACUACGGAAACAAACGAAACUUCCAAGACAAACACUAAGACUGACAUGUCGAUACAUGACCCAGUACCACUGAUAAACGAACCAAGUUACCCCAGGGAUAACAGCGCCAUCUUCUUAAAGAGUCCCCAUCGACAAGAAGGUUUACGACCUCGAUGUUGGAUCAGGAUACCCAAAUGGUGCAGCCACUAUUAAAGGUUCGUUUGUUCAACGAUUAACAAUCCU
RNAcentral lists this ribosomal RNA (505 nucleotides) under Advenus montisilvestris. RNAcentral's name for it is "partial 16S ribosomal RNA". It matches the Rfam family "Bacterial large subunit ribosomal RNA", at positions 1817 to 2597 of the family's 2925-position model. Lineage: Eukaryota; Metazoa; Chordata; Lepidosauria; Squamata; Diploglossidae. The record is from RNAcentral.